UACGUAGGGGGCAAGCGUUAUCCGGAUUUACUGGGUGUAAAGGGAGCGUAGACGGGUUAUCAAGUCAGCGGUAAAAUCGUGGAGCUCAACUCCAUCCAGCCGUUGAAACUGAUGAUCUUGAGUGGGCGAGAAGUACGCGGAAUGCGUGGUGUAGCGGUGAAAUGCAUAGAUAUCACGCAGAACUCCGAUAGCGAAGGCAGCUUACCAGACUGCGACUGACGCUGAAGCACGAGAGCGUGGGUAGCGAACAGG
This 252-nucleotide ribosomal RNA is filed under the name uncultured Bacteroidales bacterium. Its description in RNAcentral is "partial 16S ribosomal RNA". It matches the Rfam family "Bacterial small subunit ribosomal RNA", at positions 524 to 776 of the family's 1533-position model. Lineage: Bacteria; Pseudomonadati; Bacteroidota; Bacteroidia; Bacteroidales. The record is from RNAcentral.